CAUUAUCAAAUAUUAUUAAUGUUGUAAAAUAUAUUGUUCAUUGUUAGUUCAUAUUAGCUAAGGCAUUACCAAAUGUUAAGGAAUAAACUCUUAUAGUAAAGUGUUACUAAAUUUUCUUUUACCAUUUCCUUCACAAUGUCUAUUUAUUUCUAUGGCUAACAGAUUUUGUAACAUUUGUCUUUUUUACAGUCUUACCAUUGCUUGUAAGCUGGAUUGGGUAAGAUGGAUCAUCUUUAAAGGCACCAGGAGUUAAGGCAGAUGUGGAGGCACAACGGGUGAUACCAGACACACACCAAGCACAUUAUGUUCGGACAUUCAAUCAUGACAGGAUCCAGGUGAAUGCUGUCCAUUGAGAAAAGAGUUUGUUCAGCGGUUUCUGGAUAGAAUUAAUUCCAAAGAUGGGAAAAAGUGCACAUCCAGACAAGGAGCAAGCAAAAAGACAAGGAACUUGGUGCAGAGCAAAGCUGUGGCCAUUAACCCCCAUGUGAACAGCUUCAUGCAGUCCCUGAUUGAGUUCGAAUGGACGACUUCAAAGUAAAGGCCACUGUGGUCUGUCUGCCACAGUUUAAUGCAUUUAUUUUUAGUGUUAAAUGAAAUUUAAGUAGAAUAUUUAAAACUAUGGGCCAGUGUUCUUUUUACCACAGUGAAAUGUUACCUUUUAGUCGAUGAUGGACUUUAAACUGAAAACUUCAAACUAUGGACCAGUGUUCUAUUUGCCAGAGUUAAAUAUGUUACAGCAGGGGUCUCCAAACUUGUUUAUACUUGUUGAUUUUAUUUUAUGUUACUUGAUUAUAUGUUUAUUAUUGUUUAAAAUCUUGUUUUAAAUAUGUUUGUUUCAAUUAAAUGUUUUUUUAAAUAAAAAUUUGAUACAUACA
Molecule: non-coding RNA, 875 nt
Organism: Paramisgurnus dabryanus
Lineage: Eukaryota; Metazoa; Chordata; Actinopteri; Cypriniformes; Cobitidae
Source: RefSeq, a predicted model, not a curated record